Molecule: long non-coding RNA, 1355 nt
Organism: Triticum aestivum (bread wheat)
Lineage: Eukaryota; Viridiplantae; Streptophyta; Magnoliopsida; Poales; Poaceae
Exons: 2
Source: RefSeq, a predicted model, not a curated record
UUGCAGAUUGUAUACGAGACACGUUACCUGGCGCUGGGCCCACGCACUGCUCCACGCGUCGCCCUGCUUUCCCCUAGUAUCUCUUACCAGCGUUGGACCUUAUCCAUUCAGUUCCCUCGAUCCAUUUCUCUCAGCUCUACGAAAAAUCAACCCCAGAUCCAACGAGCAUAGCCCCAAAUCUCGACGACCGCCGUUGCCGCAAAUUCCAGCGACGCCGGCGACCUCCGCGUCGCACGUCCCAUCCUCUUUCUCUUGUUCCAAGCCCCAUGACCUCCACUCCGUUUUUGUUGCGAGCCAAGCACGGGAGCUGGAACCACCCGCGGCUUGUGCCGAGUCGUCGAUGCGCUACCUACCGCUUGAUCCGGAGCUGAACCAGCACCGCAAGGUGUUGCAGCCGGAGCUGGAACCGACGAACUUCAGAGCUACCAACCCGCGCAGGCGAAUAAGUUGCAUCCACACCGACCAGUUAUGGAAUCAGACGAGCAGGCAAGUCGUUUUGCUGGAACCGGCCUUUUGUUUUGCUACAACCGGCAAAGUUUUUGCUGCUUCAGCGAGGUGUUUUAUUGCGACAGUCAGCGGCGACGGCGGUAUUUCGGCUGGAAUUGGUGAUGUGUUUUGUUGGUACUGUAUUUGAUUUUUUCUACUACCGGUGACAGUGGCAUUUUUGCCGAUGAAUUUUGUUUUGUUUUUGGCUGGAACAUGGUGGUGGGAGCUGAUGAUGCGUCAAGCCAGCGUUGGACGAUGAAGGCGAUGCUACGACCUUCAUCAGCGGAUGUUACAACCUUCAGUGGCGGGAGCUACAAGUAGAGAUGGCGAGAAGGAAAAGCUAUGACCAUGGAGUCGAUUUGCUGGGACGGGGGAUGGGCGAUGGCGGUGGUGACGGGGCUGCAACAGGGCUGGUGGUGGAGAUGGGAUGGUGUGACCCCAUGCUGCAACCAUGGGGUGGUCGGGAGCGGCGACAGCAACCUCUGGCGCGCCGGCACAAGCAAACUGACAGCAAGCACGGGUCAUGGGGCGGUCGAAGAGCGCAUGUCGCGCGGCCGUGGGGGAGGCCGGCAAGCACGGAUGAGGAGGAGCGCAACCGGAUGAGGACGAGCGGUUGCGCUGAGCUCUGCCCCCCCCCCCCCCCCCCCCCCCUUUUUCUUUAGAUGAACGACGGAUCGUACGGUUUAAAAGUGAUGUAUCGUGUAGUAGCGCAGCGACCGGCACCUAUCACUCGCCAAAAAGAAAAGGUAAGCAAAAGGGGCAGUCACGGAACCGUACCUUCCGUUUCUCUCCCUCCCCGUUUUCUUCGUCAGCUCUCCUGUGUGACAUAUUGAAAAAAUAUACAUGGAAGUUAAAAGAUUUUCAUUUUA